This 74-nucleotide transfer RNA is filed under the name Variovorax sp. WDL1. RNAcentral's name for it is "tRNA-Pro". It matches the Rfam family "tRNA". From Rfam's summary of the family: Transfer RNA (tRNA) molecules are approximately 80 nucleotides in length. Lineage: Bacteria; Pseudomonadati; Pseudomonadota; Betaproteobacteria; Burkholderiales; Comamonadaceae. RNAcentral also lists the same sequence under 1 other name. The record is from RNAcentral.
CGGCCUGUAGCGCAGCCUGGUAGCGCACCUGCAUGGGGUGCAGGGGGUCAGAGGUUCGAACCCUCUCAGGCCGA